RNAcentral lists this ribosomal RNA (483 nucleotides) under uncultured bacterium. RNAcentral describes it as "partial 16S ribosomal RNA". It matches the Rfam family "Bacterial small subunit ribosomal RNA", at positions 28 to 507 of the family's 1533-position model. The record is from RNAcentral.
GACGAACGCUGGCGGCGUGCUUAACACAUGCAAGUCGAACGCUGAAGCUCAGCUUUUGUUGGGUGGAUGAGUGGCGAACGGGUGAGUAACACGUGAGUAACCUGCCUCCUUCUUUGGGAUAACGCCCGGAAACGGGUGCUAAUACUGGAUAUUCACUGGUCUUCGCAUGGGGGUUGGUGGAAAGGGUUUUUCUGGUGGGGGAUGGGCUCGCGGCCUAUCAGCUUGUUGGUGGGGUGAUGGCCUACCAAGGCUUUGACGGGUAGCCGGCCUGAGAGGGUGACCGGUCACAUUGGGACUGAGAUACGGCCCAGACUCCUACGGGAGGCAGCAGUGGGGAAUAUUGCACAAUGGGCGCAAGCCUGAUGCAGCGACGCUGCGUGAGGGAUGGAGGCCUUCGGGUUGUGAACCUCUUUCGCUAAUGGUCAAGCCGCAACAAUGGUUGUGGUGAGGGUAGUGGGUAAAGAAGCGCCGGCUAACUACGUG